This 440-nucleotide ribosomal RNA is filed under the name uncultured bacterium. Its description in RNAcentral is "partial 16S ribosomal RNA". It matches the Rfam family "Bacterial small subunit ribosomal RNA", at positions 338 to 795 of the family's 1533-position model. The record is from RNAcentral.
CCUACGGGCGGCAGCAGUGGGGAAUAUUGCACAAUGGGGGAAACCCUGAUGCAGCGACGCCGCGUGAGUGAAGACGUACUUCGUGAUGUAAAGCUCUAUCAGCAGGGAAGAAAAUGACGGUACCUGAGUAAGAAGCCCCGGCUAACUACGUGCCAGCAGCCGCGGUAAUACGUAGGGGGCAAGCGUUAUCCGGAUUUACUGGGUGUAAAGGGAGCGUAGACGGCAGUGCAAGUCAGGAGUGAAAGGGGGGGGCUCAACUCGCGGCGUGCCUUGGAAACUGUACGGCUGGAGUGCAGGAGAGGUAAGUGGAAUUCCUAGUGUAGCGGUGAAAUGCGUAGAUAUUAGGAAGAACACCAGUGGCGAAGGCGGCUUACUGGACUGUAACUGACGUUGAGGCUCGAAAGCGUGGGGAGCAAACAGGAUUAGAUACCCGAGUAGUC